Molecule: long non-coding RNA, 856 nt
Organism: Notolabrus celidotus (New Zealand spotty)
Lineage: Eukaryota; Metazoa; Chordata; Actinopteri; Labriformes; Labridae
Exons: 7
Source: RefSeq, a predicted model, not a curated record
AGUCGGCUUCCUUAGAAUUAUGGCGCGCCAAUUUCCCGGGAAACUCCUGAGCUAGGUGUCCAGAUCCAGAGUUACCUGCUGGUACAGAUCUACCUACAGACCUGAGACGCACCAGAGUCCACUGACGCGCUAGACCCCGAAGUUUGAUCCCGACUUUCUUCAUGGUCCAGGACCUGAAUCUGGAAACCAGGACAGCCGAAUGAAAGUGCAUCUUAUACGUAUGGAUAAGAAUGACCUAAAGGUGGACAUGUUUGGAUCAGCUGGAGGAUUUAAAGAUGAAGAGGACAAAGACAUGAGAGCUUACAUCUACACUCAAAGAUUGAAAUCCUGACGAACUGUGCAAACCAAGCAGCCAUCAACUGGAGCUGCAGCCUGAGCUAGUGGCGGGUGAUUGUGCUGCAGAUGAAGAAAACAAAGAAGGAAGAGCAUCACCAAGAACACAAGCACUCCUCCACCAGAGUGGGAUCAUCUCGUACUUUUGGUUUAGCAGCUGUGUCAUGCUGAGGAGGAGGAGGUGCACCCAUUCACUGCUAUUACUAAGCACAAGUUGGUAAAUUACAGGAAAGGUCACAUUUUUUAACUCACUAUUUGACUUUUUGAAAGUGAACUUUAAGCUCCUGAUGGUGGAGAUACUUUCUGGUUGGUGUGUUGGUGAUAUUUUGUCCUCCUCUGAAGGAUCUCCAAUUUGAAUAAAGCAGGACAACACAUUUUAAAGUGUGCAUACAACUUGAACUUACACUAACCUGUCACUUAAUAGUAAAUAAAAUCAUAUUAAUUGGUGUAAUAAUCCUUUAUCCUGUCUAAAUAAUCUGUAAUGUUCAUAACAAAGUAAGAAUAAAGUUUUAAACAAGUCUUA